GCAUCGAUGAAGAACGCUGCGAACUGCGAUACGUAAUGCGAAUUGCAGGAUUCAGUGAGUCAUCGAAAUUUUGAACGCAUAUUGCACUUCCGGGUUAGUCCUGGGAGUAUGCCUGUAUCAGUGUCCGU
Molecule: ribosomal RNA, 128 nt
Filed under: Phytophthora citricola
Lineage: Eukaryota; Oomycota; Peronosporomycetes; Peronosporales; Peronosporaceae
Description: partial 5.8S ribosomal RNA
Rfam family: 5.8S ribosomal RNA
About the family: 5.8S ribosomal RNA (5.8S rRNA) is a component of the large subunit of the eukaryotic ribosome. It is transcribed by RNA polymerase I as part of the 45S precursor that also contains 18S and 28S rRNA.
Source: RNAcentral